Non-coding RNA from Sarcophilus harrisii (Tasmanian devil), 843 nucleotides. NCBI's taxonomy places the organism in Eukaryota, Metazoa, Chordata, Mammalia, Dasyuromorphia, Dasyuridae. The record is from the annotation of a RefSeq genome assembly.
GAUAAAUUGGGCCUGAGGGCAGAGCAAGGAGGAGUCACUGCAAAAUGGAGUCUCUGUCCCAGCUUCUCUGUGGGCUCCUGAUGCUUUGGGUUCCAGUUUCCAGGGGAGCGAUUGUGCUGACCCAGUUUCCAGCCUCAGUGUCUGUGAGCCCAGGAGAGAGAGUCACCAUCAGCUGCAAGGCCAGUCAGAGUCUUGUACACAGUAAUGGAAACACUUACCUACACUGGGUGCAACAGAAACCUGGACAGUCUCCUCGGCUACUCAUAUACGAGGUUUCUAAGCUGCUCUCAGGAGUCCCCGCCCGCUUCAGUGGCAGUGGUGCUGGGAAGGAUUUCACCCUCACAAUCAGCAGGGUGGAGGCUGAAGAUGGGGCAGUCUAUUACUGUGUUCAGCAUUCUUAUCUUUCUCCCACUGUGUUACAGCCCUGAACAAAAACCUCCCCAGGCCUAUACUGACUGCUCAGGGAGGCCCAGCUGCCUCCCCUCCUUCCUCUGCUGCAGCAGCUGCUGGGGGCCUGCUCAGGUGCAGGGUCUCUGGGGCUGAUGUGAUAAAAGGGACUCGGGGCUCAGGGGAAAGGUCACGGUCUGAGAGAGCGCUGUUGCUGGAGUUAUGAAUAUUUCCACCCAUUCUGGAGAGCAAUUAAGAACUGUGCCCAAAAGGCGGUAAAACUGCAUAAUCUUUGACAGAAUCCUGAACACAGCUAAUUUUCUCCCAUUUUCUAGGAAAUGCUAAAAUGCUCAUCCUGGGAAUUUAACUUCCCAGACUAUCUUUAUUACCACUUUUAAGGCAACUAUAAUGUUCCCAGACUGCCUUGAUUAGCAUCUUUAAGAUACCUGUGAUGAG